AAUACAAGACACCCAGCUAAAUUUGAAUUUCAGAUAAAAUGUGCUUUGUAGUCUAAGUAGGCUCUUUGCCAUAUUUGGGACAUAUUUAUGCUAAAAAAAUUAAUCUUUAUUUACCUAAAUUUCAAAUUUAACUGGCAUCUCAAUUUU
Molecule: microRNA precursor, 147 nt
Filed under: Ovis aries (sheep)
Lineage: Eukaryota; Metazoa; Chordata; Mammalia; Artiodactyla; Bovidae
Description: miRNA (ENSOARG00000024154.1)
Source: RNAcentral